RNAcentral lists this ribosomal RNA (271 nucleotides) under uncultured bacterium. Its description in RNAcentral is "partial 16S ribosomal RNA". It matches the Rfam family "Bacterial small subunit ribosomal RNA", at positions 83 to 353 of the family's 1533-position model. The record is from RNAcentral.
CUUUGCUGGCGACCGGCGCACGGGUGAGUAACACGUAUCCAACCUGCCGAUAACUCCGGAAUAGCCUUUCGAAAGAAAGAUUAAUACCGGAUGGCAUACGAAUAUCGCAUGAUAUUUUUAUUAAAGAAUUUCGGUUAUCGAUGGGGAUGCGUUCCAUUAGUUUGUUGGCGGGGUAACGGCCCACCAAGACUACGAUGGAUAGGGGUUCUGAGAGGAAGGUCCCCCACAUUGGAACUGAGACACGGUCCAAACUCCUACGGGAGGCAGCAUG